Molecule: small nucleolar RNA, 71 nt
Organism: Rattus norvegicus (Norway rat)
Lineage: Eukaryota; Metazoa; Chordata; Mammalia; Rodentia; Muridae
Product: small nucleolar RNA SNORD19B
Source: Ensembl
AAAUAGGAGGAGUACACAAAAUGCUGAUCCAAGUGAAAAACAGUAAGAUCCAACUCUGGUUUCAUCUAAAG